GAAGCCAAAACAAAGCGAAAGAAAACAGCAUUCAAAGUGGAAUGUCUAAUUUUGUGGUAAGAAUCGCCAUUCGUAACCGCUGAAGCAGGAAGAUCUGAUCGCUACCCCUGAGUGAGAGGGGUGUUUUCAGAGCAAUCAAAGCAAUCACGACAACGAAAGAGGGCCGGAUUCGCAAAUGUGUGUUCUCGGGUUAUGGAUUUAACAUAGUAUAAAUAGAUUCGGCAAGAGAUUGCGCGGCAUAAGACUCUCUCGACCUGUUAAGCCCAUACUGAAAUUUCAGGACAUUCAUGAAUCUACUCGAGCUCUUUGGCAGUCCUUACCCACCUUUCAUGUAAAAAGGCGACUCGCAAAUGUUUAUGGUUCUAAGGGCAAGUACCUCCUACUAAACUCCUUAUUGAAAACGAAAGCGACACCCCUUGUUGAAAUAAGAUUCAAUAAAGCAGACCAC
Molecule: long non-coding RNA, 448 nt
Filed under: Lathyrus oleraceus (garden pea)
Lineage: Eukaryota; Viridiplantae; Streptophyta; Magnoliopsida; Fabales; Fabaceae
Description: Pisum sativum (pea) long non-coding RNA (PSAT_LNC033486)
Source: RNAcentral